CAGUUCUCUUUCACCCACUGACCUGUGUCCUGACUCUCCUGAAGAGAAGCCCAAAACUGCUCGUGUCUCUACUGAAGUCCAAAAACUGACAGCCAUCAAGGAAACCCACAGAGCGCUACACAUUGACACUGUCACACCACAGUGGAAAAAAGGAGCAUAGCUGGGAUCAGAAGUGACAAACUCCUGGCAGGAGGGGACUACGAGCACUGACUUCAAUUGCAAGCCAACAAAAAAAAAAAAAGUGAAUGAAGACAGAAAACACCUUCAGAACCAUGCCACAGGUCUGCAACUCCCUUGCAAGCCUAAUCUGUAAGGAAGAGAACACCAAGACACUGAAAUUUUGGAUUGUUCAUUACAAUGCUGUACUGUGUGCACUGGGAUAUGCACAGAGGAAAAAACAUCUGAGGUGAAAGGAAAUAAAGGAAGAACUCUGCUGGGAAGCAAAAUGCUAGGGCUUGGUUUUCAUUAUCUAAAGCCACACCUCAGAACUGCCUGACUGAUGAUAAGAGAUGUUACCCUCCCAGGGAGCUGGAUCCAGAGAGGAAAAGGAAACCUUUCAAAACAGCUCCUGUAAGACAUUAAACCAGCUUAAUAUCAAAUCAUACUGAAAACAAACAUUUUAAUUCUGUAACAUCAAAGUACUGAGAGAGAACAUGCUAAAGCAGAAAAUUCCUGAAUUAAAAGCUUGAGGUUUUAGUCUUUA
Vidua macroura (Pin-tailed whydah) is the source of this 703-nucleotide long non-coding RNA. RefSeq lists it as uncharacterized. The transcript has 2 exons. The record is from RefSeq and is a predicted model, not a curated record. NCBI's taxonomy places the organism in Eukaryota, Metazoa, Chordata, Aves, Passeriformes, Viduidae.